CUGAUGGUCAGGCCUCAGCUGUCCUUUGAGAGUGAGGAUCAGCUGUGAUGACUUCCUUGUAGCCUCUACUGAAGUACCCCUCGGCCAAAUGGUUAACACACCAAUGCUUUUAAAAUUGUACCCAAACCAGGAAAUGAAAUUCACAGGUGAACUGCAGUCAAACCUAAGUUGUUGCCACAAACCACUGAUGAAACUCAGUGCUUCAGCCAAAUCCCAGCAUUUGUCAGCCGUGCAGGUGCUGAGAGGGUGGAGACUGGGAGGGGCGACACCUAGUCCAUGGCAGCGGGAUGUCAGGGAGACUCGACAACUGCUCCCGCAGCUCUUUGCUCCAGGACAUAGCUCUGCCCACCCGGUGUCAACACCCUCCAGGCUUUCCAGCUGUCCUCUGAUUGCUGAGGUUCCUGUUAGGGACCGAGGUACUAAACCUGGGCGGGUGGAUUUGUCGGCCUCAUCCAUUGUGGCUCGAGACCGGCCUUCGGGAGUCGGCUCUCAGUCUAAACAUCCUUUCUCAUUCAUAGUGUGUCACCCGAAGAUGCUUGUUUGUGACAUUGUGACAGUCUGUCAUGACUGUCCCGGUGCCUUUGUGAUGACUUAAACUACACUGAGGAGCUUGCCAACUUGUGAAUGCCCUUCAGAGGGUCUGGCAGUCACAGCUGUUCCAGAGCCCGAGGGCAGAAGAUUCCGGAGCCCGGGAGUUUGAGGCCAACCUAGGCAACAUAAUGGGACCCUCUCAUUAUUAUUCC
This 743-nucleotide long non-coding RNA is filed under the name Rattus norvegicus (Norway rat). Its description in RNAcentral is "long non-coding RNA NONRATT005501". Lineage: Eukaryota; Metazoa; Chordata; Mammalia; Rodentia; Muridae. The record is from RNAcentral.